This 253-nucleotide ribosomal RNA is filed under the name uncultured bacterium. RNAcentral describes it as "partial 16S ribosomal RNA". It matches the Rfam family "Bacterial small subunit ribosomal RNA", at positions 524 to 776 of the family's 1533-position model. The record is from RNAcentral.
UACGUAGGGUGCAAGCGUUGUCCGGAAUUAUUGGGCGUAAAGAGCUCGUAGGCGGUUUGUCGCGUCGGCUGUGAAAACCUGGGGCUCAACCCCGGGCCUGCAGCCGAUACGGGCAAACUAGAAUUCGGUAGGGGAGACUGGAAUUCCUGGUGUAGCGGUGAAAUGCGCAGAUAUCAGGAGGAACACCGGUGGCGAAGGCGGGUCUCUGGGCAGUAACUGACGCUGAGGAGCGAAAGCGUGGGGAGCGAACAGG